This 228-nucleotide ribosomal RNA is filed under the name Salmonella enterica. Its description in RNAcentral is "partial 16S ribosomal RNA". It matches the Rfam family "Bacterial small subunit ribosomal RNA", at positions 1010 to 1240 of the family's 1533-position model. Lineage: Bacteria; Pseudomonadati; Pseudomonadota; Gammaproteobacteria; Enterobacterales; Enterobacteriaceae. The record is from RNAcentral.
AGCUUUCCCUUCGGGGACAAAGUGACAGGUGGUGCAUGGUUGUCGUCAGCUCGUGUCGUGAGAUGUUGGGUUAAGUCCCGCAACGAGCGCAACCCUUGAUUUUAGUUGCCAGCAUUUAGUUGGGCACUCUAAAGUGACUGCCGGUGCAAGCCGGAGGAAGGUGGGGAUGACGUCAAAUCAUCAUGCCCCUUAUGACCUGGGCUACACACGUGCUACAAUGGAUAGUAC